Non-coding RNA from Equus caballus (horse), 97 nucleotides. NCBI's taxonomy places the organism in Eukaryota, Metazoa, Chordata, Mammalia, Perissodactyla, Equidae. The record is from Rfam.
GUGGUUGCCGGGUGGGUGCUCUCUACUAGUGCUGUGCAGAGGCUUUCGCUGAAGCUGCUGUGAGCUUGUAGAGUUUCCCCCUGGACCACAGAGCUGG